This is a long non-coding RNA of Gallus gallus (chicken), 1203 nucleotides long. The record is from Ensembl. NCBI's taxonomy places the organism in Eukaryota, Metazoa, Chordata, Aves, Galliformes, Phasianidae.
UUUUGCAAGCCAGCAGGUGCGCUUGGACUGCUCCCCCAGUAGAGAGAGGUCCUGUAUGAAACCUGGCAGUACAUCCCAUAUGCCGUGAAUGUCUUCAAGUAGCAACGCAGGGAUGGCGACAACAAUGCUACUGAAAAGUUCUGCAGCAUGCAAACCACCGAACCCUGCAGCAAGAAGGCAGGAAAGUGGGAUAAGGCCCAUGUGACAGCUCCUCCUCUGCCCAGCUGCCAGGCACCAGGGCGAGCCUCUUCACCUGGACGGCUUUGAGACCAGAUAAGGCACAUGAGCCCGGGUAACCAGGAGGAGCUCCAACCUUCCGUGCCGAGAUCAGCAUUUCUGGUCUGUAGAGCACACACCCAGCAGCAAUAGCUGCGGUGGACCUGGGGCAGAGCCGAAGGCAAGGCUGCCACAUGCUGCUUAGCUGAUAGCCACACGGGCGCACGCUGUCACAAAAGGUGUCCUCAUUUUCAGGAGUGCACAUUUUCUUUCCAAAGGGGUACAGACGGAGCUGUUAAUUAUGUCAUUUUCUUGCUAAAGUCAGUGGGAAAACUGGGAAGUUAUUUCACACAAAGCAACGCAUCGAGCCCCCAGUUCUGGAAAUGCACAAUGCCAUUCUCAAGCUAUUCUGUGAAACAUUUGUUGUUAGCCAAAUUAGUGGUUGCGAGCGCAAGGCAGGAACUCAGUGGGCCUCUGAUGCAACAGGAAUGCACUGGAGUUCAAACAACCUGUUGUCAUCUAUUGCAUUCCUGCAGGGAAGCAGUAGGAAUCACUGACUCAGAGCUACUUACAGAGGUAAAUACUGGGUCACCACACACUCAGCAAUGAUAACACGAACAGGAGAAAAAUACAGAAUGGGUACGACAGAAACGACAGAAAAACACAGUGCUUCUGUAGGCAGUGAAAUAGCAAAGGAGUUGCUGUGUUGUGACGGCUGUGCUCCAGGAGCACUGCUCAGAGAAGGUCUGUAAUUGUUUCUUACAGUCUUCCCUCUGCAGCUGGAGCUGAAAAACAGCUGUAGCAGUUGCACUGUGAAACUGGACUCAAAGGAGAGAGAAAAAACCUGUGUGCUCUGUCUUACUCUGUCACCCGGUGGGUGGAAUAAAACUGUGUGGCUCAUAGGCAUGUUCAGGACGACAGCUUGGCACCUUGAAACUAGAUCAGUUGGGCAUUUGCUACACAUGAGGUGAGAUGAGAACAGAUUCC